UCUAGGACCUCAUCAUCCUCCACAUCAUCUUCCACCCACUCCUCAACCCUGCCCUCAUUGCGGGUCUGCACACUGCAGAAAGCCACAGCAGUUGGCACCUGUGUUUUUCCAGCAUGUAAAGUCUGCAAAGGACAUAUGGAAAUUGUUUUAGAAUUGUAUCCAGGCAAAAUUUUUCCCUAUAAACUGACCUCUCAGUUUGACUUGUGAGGGUAUUGCCCCCGAAUUACAAUAUUGUUAUAUUGGUAUUUGACGCUUCUAUUUGACUCUAAGAUAUGAAGAGCAGGGCCCAAAAUGUACUAUCUAGCAGAUUAGCAGCAAAACAAUUAGAAUGUUUACAACUGCGCUUUAAGCGCUCUAUUUGACACUUCUAUUUGACUCUCAGAUAUGAAAUGCACCCCACUAAUGUACUUUUUAG
Pelobates cultripes (western spadefoot toad) is the source of this 415-nucleotide non-coding RNA. NCBI's taxonomy places the organism in Eukaryota, Metazoa, Chordata, Amphibia, Anura, Pelobatidae. The record is from the annotation of a GenBank genome assembly.